RNAcentral lists this ribosomal RNA (240 nucleotides) under uncultured Bacillota bacterium. Its description in RNAcentral is "uncultured Firmicutes bacterium partial 16S ribosomal RNA". It matches the Rfam family "Bacterial small subunit ribosomal RNA", at positions 94 to 334 of the family's 1533-position model. Lineage: Bacteria; Bacillati; Bacillota. The record is from RNAcentral.
AGCGGCGGACGGGUGAGUAACGCGUGGGCAACCUGCCUUACACAGGGGGAUAACAGUUAGAAAUGACUGCUAAUACCGCAUAAGACCGCAGUACCGCAUGGUACAGCGGUAAAAACUCCGGUGGUGUAAGAUGGGCCCGCGUCUGAUUAGGUAGUUGGCGGGGUAACGGCCCACCAAGCCGACGAUCAGUAGCCGACCUGAGAGGGUGACCGGCCACAUUGGGACUGAGACACGGCCCAG